UUAAGCGACUAAGCGUACACGGUGGAUGCCCUGGCAGUCAGAGGCGAUGAAGGGCGUGCUAAUCUGCGAUAAGCGCCGGUAAGGUGAUAUGAACCGUUAUAACCGGCGAUACCCGAAUGGGGAAACCCAGUGUGUUUCGACACACUAUCAUUAACUGAAUCCAUAGGUUAAUGAGGCGAACCGGGGGAACUGAAACAUCUAAGUACCCCGAGGAAAAGAAAUCAACCGAGAUUCCCCCAGUAGCGGCGAGCGAACGGGGAGGAGCCCAGAGCCUGAAUCAGCAUGUGUGUUAGUGGAAGCGUCUGGAAAGGCGCGCGAUACAGGGUGACAGCCCCGUACACAAAAGCGCAUGUGCUGUGAGCUCGAUGAGUAGGGCGGGACACGUGGUAUCCUGUCUGAAUAUGGGGGGACCAUCCUCCAAGGCUAAAUACUCCUGACUGACCGAUAGUGAACCAGUACCGUGAGGGAAAGGCGAAAAGAACCCCGGCGAGGGGAGUGAAAAAGAACCUGAAACCGUGUACGUACAAGCAGUGGGAGCCCCACCACUAAGCCAGUGGUGAACUCCACAUACGCAUCCUUUGCUGAGGAUACGGUUAACGGAGCGAAAGCGACGUUCAACCUCAAAAGAAGCAGAGGGGGCUUAGUGGUGGGGUGACUGCGUACCUUUUGUAUAAUGGGUCAGCGACUUAUAUUCUGUAGCAAGGUUAACCGAAUAGGGGAGCCGGAGGGAAACCGAGUCUUAACCGGGCGUUAAGUUGCAGGGUAUAGACCCGAAACCCGGUGAUCUAGCCAUGGGCAGGUUGAAGGUUGGGUAACACUAACUGGAGGACCGAACCGACUAAUGUUGAAAAAUUAGCGGAUGACCUGUGGCUGGGGGUGAAAGGCCAAUCAAACCGGGAGAUAGCUGGUUCUCCCCGAAAGCUAUUUAGGUAGCGCCUCGUGAAUUCAUCUCCGGGGGUAGAGCACUGUUUCGGCUAGGGGGCCAUCCCGGCUUACCAACCCGAUGCAAACUGCGAAUACCGGAGAAUGUUAUCACGGGAGACACACGGCGGGUGCUAACGUCCGUCGUGAAGAGGGAAACAACCCAGACCGCCAGCUAAGGUCCCAAAGUCAUGGUUAAGUGGGAAACGAUGUGGGAAGGCCCAGACAGCCAGGAUGUUGGCUUAGAAGCAGCCAUCAUUUAAAGAAAGCGUAAUAGCUCACUGGUCGAGUCGGCCUGCGCGGAAGAUGUAACGGGGCUAAACCAUGCACCGAAGCUGCGGCAGCGACGCUGAUGCGUUGUUGGGUAGGGGAGCGUUCUGUAAGCCUGCGAAGGUGGCCUGUGAGGGUUGCUGGAGGUAUCAGAAGUGCGAAUGCUGACAUAAGUAACGAUAAAGCGGGUGAAAAGCCCGCUCGCCGGAAGACCAAGGGUUCCUGUCCAACGUUAAUCGGGGCAGGGUGAGUCGACCCCUAAGGCGAGGCCGAAAGGCGUAGUCGAUGGGAAACGGGUUAAUAUUCCCGUACUUGGUGUUACUGCGAAGGGGGGACGGAGAAGGCUAUGUUGGCCGGGCGACGGUUGUCCCGGUUUAAGCGUGUAGGUGUGUGUUCCAGGUAAAUCCGGUUCACUUUAACACUGAGGCGUGAUGACGAGGCACUACGGUGCUGAAGCAACAAAUGCCCUGCUUCCAGGAAAAGCCUCUAAGCAUCAGGUAACAUCAAAUCGUACCCCAAACCGACACAGGUGGUCAGGUAGAGAAUACCAAGGCGCUUGAGAGAACUCGGGUGAAGGAACUAGGCAAAAUGGUGCCGUAACUUCGGGAGAAGGCACGCUGACACGUAGGUGAAGUGAUUUACUCAUGGAGCUGAAGUCAGUCGAAGAUACCAGCUGGCUGCAACUGUUUAUUAAAAACACAGCACUGUGCAAACACGAAAGUGGACGUAUACGGUGUGACGCCUGCCCGGUGCCGGAAGGUUAAUUGAUGGGGUCAGCGCAAGCGAAGCUCCUGAUCGAAGCCCCGGUAAACGGCGGCCGUAACUAUAACGGUCCUAAGGUAGCGAAAUUCCUUGUCGGGUAAGUUCCGACCUGCACGAAUGGCGUAAUGAUGGCCAGGCUGUCUCCACCCGAGACUCAGUGAAAUUGAACUCGCUGUGAAGAUGCAGUGUACCCGCGGCAAGACGGAAAGACCCCGUGAACCUUUACUAUAGCUUGACACUGAACAUUGAGCCUUGAUGUGUAGGAUAGGUGGGAGGCUUUGAAGUGUGGACGCCAGUCUGCAUGGAGCCGGCCUUGAAAUACCACCCUUUAAUGUUUGAUGUUCUAACGUGGACCCGUGAUCCGGGUUGCGGACAGUGUCUGGUGGGUAGUUUGACUGGGGCGGUCUCCUCCUAAAGAGUAACGGAGGAGCACGAAGGUUGGCUAAUCCUGGUCGGACAUCAGGAGGUUAGUGCAAUGGCAUAAGCCAGCUUGACUGCGAGCGUGACGGCGCGAGCAGGUGCGAAAGCAGGUCAUAGUGAUCCGGUGGUUCUGAAUGGAAGGGCCAUCGCUCAACGGAUAAAAGGUACUCCGGGGAUAACAGGCUGAUACCGCCCAAGAGUUCAUAUCGACGGCGGUGUUUGGCACCUCGAUGUCGGCUCAUCACAUCCUGGGGCUGAAGUAGGUCCCAAGGGUAUGGCUGUUCGCCAUUUAAAGUGGUACGCGAGCUGGGUUUAGAACGUCGUGAGACAGUUCGGUCCCUAUCUGCCGUGGGCGCUGGAGAACUGAGGGGGGCUGCUCCUAGUACGAGAGGACCGGAGUGGACGCAUCACUGGUGUUCGGGUUGUCAUGCCAAUGGCACUGCCCGGUAGCUAAAUGCGGAAGAGAUAAGUGCUGAAAGCAUCUAAGCACGAAACUUGCCCCGAGAUGAGUUCUCCCUGAGACUUAGAGUCUCCUGAAGGAACGUUGAAGACGACGACGUUGAUAGGCCGGGUGUGUAAGCGCAGCGAUGCGUUGAGCUAACCGGUACUAAUGAACCGUGAGGCUUAACCUU
This 3005-nucleotide ribosomal RNA is filed under the name Salmonella enterica. RNAcentral's name for it is "23S ribosomal RNA". It matches the Rfam family "Bacterial large subunit ribosomal RNA". Lineage: Bacteria; Pseudomonadati; Pseudomonadota; Gammaproteobacteria; Enterobacterales; Enterobacteriaceae. RNAcentral also lists the same sequence under 1 other name. The record is from RNAcentral.